This 253-nucleotide ribosomal RNA is filed under the name uncultured bacterium. RNAcentral describes it as "partial 16S ribosomal RNA". It matches the Rfam family "Bacterial small subunit ribosomal RNA", at positions 524 to 776 of the family's 1533-position model. The record is from RNAcentral.
UACAGAGGGUGCAAGCGUUAAUCGGAAUUACUGGGCGUAAAGCGUGCGUAGACGGUUACAUAAGUCGGGUGUGAAAGCCCCGGGCUCAACCUGGGAAUUGCAUUCGAGACUGCGUAGCUAGGGUGCGGAAGAGGGAAGCGGAAUUUCCGGUGUAGCGGUGAAAUGCGUAGAUAUCGGGAAGAACACCGGUGGCGAAGGCGGCUCUCUGGACCUGUCCUGACGCUCAGGCGCGAAAGCUAGGGGAGCGAACAGG